UCCCACUCGUCUCUCCGCCUCCCGGGCUCACUCUCGGGCUCACCCUCCCCCUCUCCCCAGCAGGCCCAGGGGCCCUGGCGCCUCUUCCUGGCUCAGCUUCGACUUCAGGUGCGCGCGGUCCCUGCAGUUCGUCGCUGCAGCUGCCCUCUCCUCUUUUCUGUUUCUCGCUCCCUUCUUCCCCACCCGUGUCUCCUCCCCACUCCUUCCCCUGACGUUUCCUCUUCUCCCUCGCCCCCUCUCGCCAGCCCUCCCGCUGGGCGCGCCCCUCUAGCUGUGCUCCCCUUCUCUUCUAUCUUGCACUCUUUCCUUUUUUCUUCCCCUCUCACUUUUAUCUCUUUUUCUUUCCUCCUCUUGUCCUUUGAGCUUUAUCCUCUCUGAAUCUGCCUCCCCUUCCUCUCCCUCUUGCUCCCCACUCUCUCCUUUGGGAGAUCCGUAAAUCUCCCCACACCCUCUCCCUGCUUUGCUUUGAAUCUCUCCCCAGCCUCUCAAUCCUCCGGAGUCCGGCCUCCUCCAGUCUCAGGGAGGCGCCUGCACUCUCCCUACUCCUCUCCUGCUCGUGCCCUCUCCCUCCCUCCCCUGCCCCAGCACUCAAGGUUCCCAGGCUGAGAAGGAGGUGGCUUCCACCCAGUGCAGGAGGUGGGCCACCAGAGGCAGAGCUGCCAAGCCAGAGCCCAGGAGCUGAAAGAACUUUGUGACGUUUGUUCUCUCUCUUUUCUGUCUGUCCUGGACGCUGGAUACCCCCUGGAGAAAUCAAGCCCACCCAAAGCCUGGGAAGGAGGAAAUGAGGAAUGGGACCAGAGACAGAAGCAAGGUGCAUCACUCCACCCUCUUCUCAGCAGAGAGCACGUCCAUGUGGAGGACCUUCCUGGAUCUCCUUUUCACCCAUGAGAAACAGGCGCCCAGGACUUCAAAAGACCAGCAGCAGUGAGGACAGAGACUCCAGGGAAGACCUGGCCUGAAGGACCAACAGCGCCACCUGCAGGGCACUUCAUCCAUGCGGGGCCCUCAGUUACCACCUCCUGGCAGCAGAUGGAACAGCACCCGUGCUCUAUUAGAACUGAGUCUGUCCUCAGGGAUAAGGAUAAUGCCAAGAAUGUCUGGGGGAGGUGGGGAGACUGGGUGGGGAGGACAGAUUUGCAAAAUGCUGCAGAAAUAACCACUUUUACUUCCAACAUAUAAAUAUCCUGCCCCACAAGCUUCCUGGUAUGCCAGCUUA
This is a long non-coding RNA of Marmota flaviventris (yellow-bellied marmot), 1216 nucleotides long. RefSeq lists it as uncharacterized. The record is from RefSeq and is a predicted model, not a curated record. NCBI's taxonomy places the organism in Eukaryota, Metazoa, Chordata, Mammalia, Rodentia, Sciuridae.